CUAAUAGUUCUCUAUCAAGCAAUCAUCCUCCUGAACUGAAUUCUUCGACCAUUAAGAUCAAGAAUCUUUUACAGGGUUACCAAACUCGUUUAAAUGCGGUUUCCUCGGGGAAAGAUAUGCACGAACGUCACCACCGUCGCGCGUUUGUGUUCGUAGUGAUGUCGUAAACCAAUCGGUCUGCGAUCACGCACACGCACACACGUACCACAGAAAGAAGCGAGAGCGGAAAAAGCGAUGAAAUGAGAGCGAUAAGGAGAACGAAUCGAAGGAAGGAGGAAGGGAAUCCAAUAUAACUGCACACACGUUUAUAGGGUCGAUGGGAAUAUAUUGGAGCGGAUAUUGAAAUACUUGUUGGUAGUUUGAGUCGAAGGCGAGAGAUGCCUUUCUCGAUGCCAUCUUGAUUGCGCAAUCGAGGCAUCGGUCCACGAGUACAGAAUUUAACGAUAAAGAUCGUACGGAUUAUAGAAUCCUAGACGGGGAACAGAGUCCCCUUCCUAUCUAUCCUCCUUUCCCAGGUUCUGUGCCUUUAUCGGUAUUACGAGUCUCAACCCCUCGCUGUUUACGAGAGAACCGCAUCGUUCCGUUAAAUGAAACCGAUAUUAUGUCAUCACGGUUACAGUUGGUUACUUAACCUCACCAUUCCUUUUCUGGAAGUUUCUUAUUGUGAAUCAUGUAUAUUCAUGGUUUUCGUUCAUUUACAGAAACGGAAAUGUUAACAAAGCGAAGAAGAGAGGAAAAUGUGCACCAACAAUUACAGUUUAUAUUAAGAGGACCGUCGUUUCACGCCCUUUGCAUACUUUCCUUUCUCUUUCACGAAAGAUAUGUAUUCAGUCUUGUAUAAUAAUCGCUUCGUAUUUCUUGGAAUAAAGAGUCUUUGAACGAAACAACUGUUCUUGCAUUAGUUUCAAAAAUAUCAAUGAACACGAAUGGAAACAUGGUGAACACAAGAAGUAAUUACAAUACGGAUAGUCUUUUACAGUUUCUGAAUCGGAGAAUUUCCUGAAUAAUUCUAUAUUACAAAAACGAAGAGGGAUUAAGGAGGAAGAUAGAAUUCUGGAACGCGAACGAUUCUGUCGAACGGAAAUGCAAUUCGCAGCGGCGCCGGUAGUCGAGUCUCAGCUCGAGUCGACAGAUAGAUAGAGUCAAGAUUCAAUUAGCUCUAGCUGUCAACUGCAUGAUACUCAUCGAUUCAAUACACCUUCUCGUUUGUGUGCCCCCGCACAUGCUUCUUUCUCGUGCGUGUUUGACUGCGUGAGCGAGCGCGCGCACGCGACCGUACGCCAGUUCAGGUUUCGCGUUUAGUCUCGUUACGUUUUGCACACCCGAACUCCUCCGUGUGUAUGUGUGUCAUCGUAUACCUGUACUAUACAUAGGUAUUUGAUUACGUGAAUGCGCUUAGUACACGCGUGCAUGCUGAAAAUUAGCCCGGUCGGGCAAAUCGUGAAUUUUGGAAAUGAUUUUACGGUCGCGGGAGAGUGCGAGGGAGUACAUAAAUUUUCGACGAGCUCGAUUUCACCGAAUAAUGAGACAGACCAUCUGUCGUAAUAGAAGUACCAGUAAUAUUCAAAUUCGUGAUUCACCGUGUUUAACGUACAAAAAGAACCGUGUUAUACAAAAAGAAAACAUUCUAACUAGUCAAUUUUCAAUUGUAGGUUAUGUUGAUUGAAUCAAUAUGAGAAAUUUUGUUAAAUUUGUUUUAAAUAUCUACUCAUUAUACGGUUGAUGCUCAUUUAUAAUAAUGGUAUGUAGAAAGAAAUGAUAUAAUAAGCUUAAAAGUUCAAAUACUCAGAAUCAACCUUCAUUGAUAUAGUUACAUUCAGAACUAUACAUGUUUUGUAAACACAUUUUGAAUCUUUGGUUGCAAAAGUUACUUGUGGAUUGAUAUUCCGUUUGUCUUUAUAAUCUUUCAGCAAAACUAUAGAAUAUUACGACCUCUUGCUCAAUAACGAUAAUCGUAUCAUAUAAUAAAAGUUAAUCUAUAAUUCUUAAAGAUAUAAUUUCGAUUAACAUCGAGUUCGGUGCCCCUUUUAUAUUGAGUUUUUAAUUUUCUUGGUCCGACUAAAGUACGCGGUUAAUAUAACGUUUUAACAUGGUUUUAAUUGAUCAUCCGUUCGUAAAGAUUCGGAUCCGCUUUUGAAUGGUCGUUUUGAAUACGUGAAAGAACACCCGUGGAAUUCUGUGGUGACCGAUGUGCGUGUAGGUGAUGUAGGUAUCACUUAUCCGAGAGCGGGGCGAUACCAGCCAUUUUCAAUUUAUUUCAAGAGCCUUUUCGUGGCGGAGAAAAGAAGGGUGCCACGACUACUGGCAGAGAGAUACCUAUACAAACGACCUUCGACUUCUCUGCUUCCGACGACCACUUCCAUCGGCAGCCGUAACCAAUAGCCGUUUCACGAACCUGAUAUUAAGGUAUUAAAGUUAUUUCGAUUCGAAUAUCAUCGGACAACGUGUAGUCGAUGCUUAGCAUUAUAAAUGAUCCAUCAAUAAUCAUAUACAUAUGCGAUUGAGAAAUCAAUCGAUAAUUAAACUAUAAUUAUGAUUAGUAACAUUAGGCUUACCAAAUCCAUCAAAAUGACGGAUUUUAGAUUUUUUGUUUUUACAGUUACUAAUGUAAUUGUAAGGUAACCGUAAAAGAUAAAAACUUUUGGUAAGCCUAAUAUGCUUUUGGCGAAAUUAGUGUUUGCUUUUACUGAAAUAGAGAUAUGAUUAU
Long non-coding RNA from Bombus pascuorum, 2707 nucleotides. RefSeq lists it as uncharacterized. The transcript has 3 exons. NCBI's taxonomy places the organism in Eukaryota, Metazoa, Arthropoda, Insecta, Hymenoptera, Apidae. The record is from RefSeq and is a predicted model, not a curated record.